CCUGCCCCUAAGUCUGGGAUACCAUUUGGAAACAGGUGCUAAUACCGGAUAAUAAAGCAGAUCGCAUGAUCAGCUUUUGAAAGGCGGCGUAAGCUGUCGCUAAGGGAUGGCCCCGCGGUGCAUUAGCUAGUUGGUAAGGUAACGGCUUACCAAGGCGACGAUGCAUAGCCGAGUUGAGAGACUGAUCGGCCACAUUGGGACUGAGACACGGCCCAAACUCCUACGGGAGGCAGCAGUAGGGAAUCUUCCACAAUGGACGCAAGUCUGAUGGAGCAACGCCGCGUGAGUGAAGAAGGUUUUCGGAUCGUAAAGCUCUGUUGUUGGUGAAGAAGGAUAGAGGUAGUAACUGGCCUUUAUUUGACGGUAAUCAACCAGAAAGUCACGGCUAACUACGUGCCAGCAGCCGCGGUAAUACGUAGGUGGCAAGCGUUGUCCGGAUUUAUUGGGCGUAAAGCGAGCGCAGGCGGAAAAAUAAGUCUAAUGUGAAAGCCCUCGGCUUAACCGAGGAACUGCAUCGGAAACUGUUUUUCUUGAGUGCAGAAAAGGAGAGUGGAACUCCAUGUGUAGCGGUGGAAUGCGUAAAUAUAUGGAAAAACACCAGUGGCGAAGGCGGCUCUCUG
This 620-nucleotide ribosomal RNA is filed under the name uncultured bacterium. RNAcentral describes it as "bacterial SSU rRNA". It matches the Rfam family "Bacterial small subunit ribosomal RNA", at positions 125 to 731 of the family's 1533-position model. The record is from RNAcentral.